This 635-nucleotide ribosomal RNA is filed under the name Fusarium sp. RNAcentral describes it as "SSU rRNA". It matches the Rfam family "Eukaryotic small subunit ribosomal RNA", at positions 510 to 1151 of the family's 1831-position model. Lineage: Eukaryota; Fungi; Ascomycota; Sordariomycetes; Hypocreales; Nectriaceae. The record is from RNAcentral.
UGGAAUGAGUACAAUUUAAAUCCCUUAACGAGGAACAAUUGGAGGGCAAGUCUGGUGCCAGCAGCCGCGGUAAUUCCAGCUCCAAUAGCGUAUAUUAAAGUUGUUGUGGUUAAAAAGCUCGUAGUUGAACCUUGGGCCUGGCUGGCCGGUCCGCCUCACCGCGUGUACUGGUCCGGCCGGGCCUUUCCCUCUGUGGAACCCCAUGCCCUUCACUGGGUGUGGCGGGGAAACAGGACUUUUACUGUGAAAAAAUUAGAGUGCUCCAGGCAGGCCUAUGCUCGAAUACAUUAGCAUGGAAUAAUAGAAUAGGACGUGUGGUUCUAUUUUGUUGGUUUCUAGGACCGCCGUAAUGAUUAAUAGGGACAGUCGGGGGCAUCAGUAUUCAAUUGUCAGAGGUGAAAUUCUUGGAUUUAUUGAAGACUAACUACUGCGAAAGCAUUUGCCAAGGAUGUUUUCAUUAAUCAGGAACGAAAGUUAGGGGAUCGAAGACGAUCAGAUACCGUCGUAGUCUUAACCAUAAACUAUGCCGACUAGGGAUCGGACGGUGUUAUUUUUUGACCCGUUCGGCACCUUACGAGAAAUCAAAGUGCUUGGGCUCCAGGGGGAGUAUGGUCGCAAGGCUGAAACUUAAAGGA